RNAcentral lists this ribosomal RNA (492 nucleotides) under uncultured bacterium. RNAcentral describes it as "partial 16S ribosomal RNA". It matches the Rfam family "Bacterial small subunit ribosomal RNA", at positions 29 to 507 of the family's 1533-position model. The record is from RNAcentral.
AGUGAACGCUGGCGGUAGGCCUAACACAUGCAAGUCGAACGGCAGCACCGUAAGAGCUUGCUCUUACGGGUGGCGAGUGGCGGACGGGUGAGGAAUACAUCGGAAUACACUUUUUCGUGGGGGAUAACGUAGGGAAACUUACGCUAAUACCGCAUACGACCUACGGGUGAAAGCAGGGGUUCUUCGGACUUUGCGCGAUUGAAUGAGCCGAUGUCGGAUGAGCUAGUUGGCGGGGUAAAGGCCCACCAAGGCGACGAUCCGUAGCUGGUCCGAGGGGAUGAUUCCACAGAUGGGAACUGAGACUCGGCCCACACUCCGACAGGAGGCCGCGGUGGGGAAUCUUGCGCGAGGGGGGAAAGCCUGAUCCAGCAAUACCGGGUGAGUCAUGAAGCACUUCGGGUUGUUGAGCCCUUUAGUUGGGAAAGAAGAGAAGCAGGUUUAUACGCCGCUAUAAUGACGGUACCCAAAGAAUAAGCUCCGGCUAACUUCGUG